Molecule: ribosomal RNA, 371 nt
Filed under: uncultured bacterium
Lineage: Bacteria
Description: bacterial SSU rRNA
Rfam family: Bacterial small subunit ribosomal RNA
Source: RNAcentral
GAAGGGGGCUAGCGUUGCUCGGAAUUACUGGGCGUAAAGGGCGCGUAGGCGGACAGUUUAGUCAGAGGUGAAAGCCCAGGGCUCAACCUUGGAAUUGCCUUUGAUACUGGCUGUCUUGAGUACGGGAGAGGUGUGUGGAACUCCGAGUGUAGAGGUGAAAUUCGUAGAUAUUCGGAAGAACACCAGUGGCGAAGGCGACACACUGGCCCGUUACUGACGCUGAGGCGCGAAAGCGUGGGGAGCAAACAGGAUUAGAUACCCUGGUAGUCCACGCCGUAAACGAUGAGUGCUAGUUGUCGGCAUGCAUGCAUGUCGGUGACGCAGCUAACGCAUUAAGCACUCCGCCUGGGGAGUACGGUCGCAAGAUUAAA